RNAcentral lists this transfer RNA (74 nucleotides) under Anaerospora hongkongensis. It matches the Rfam family "tRNA". Rfam says of the family: Transfer RNA (tRNA) molecules are approximately 80 nucleotides in length. Their secondary structure includes four short double-helical elements and three loops (D, anti-codon, and T loops). Lineage: Bacteria; Bacillati; Bacillota; Negativicutes; Selenomonadales; Sporomusaceae. The record is from Rfam by way of RNAcentral.
GGGGUUAUAGCUCAGUUGGUUAGAGCGCAUCGUUGACAUCGAUGAGGUCAGAGGUUCGAGUCCUCCUAACCCCA